Sitophilus oryzae (rice weevil) is the source of this 440-nucleotide long non-coding RNA. RefSeq lists it as uncharacterized. The record is from RefSeq and is a predicted model, not a curated record. Lineage: Eukaryota; Metazoa; Arthropoda; Insecta; Coleoptera; Curculionidae. The transcript has 4 exons.
UCGGGACGUUGCGACGUCUCGAUAAAGCGUCCUCUGGCAGUUGCGGCGUUAAGCUUUCAACCGAACAUUAUCGGAAAAGUUUGAAGAACUUUUUUGGCUUUCCCGAAGCUAUUUAUUUCGUUUUGUUCGGAAAUUUUCGCUUUUUUCUAGUUGGAGAUUUCCAGUAAACUUUUUUGGCAGAGUUGAAAAGUUACGACGAAAGUUGGAUAUUUCCAGUAAACUUUUUUGGCAGUGUUGAAAAGAUACCACCAAAGGUCCUGAAUUAUUUUAACAAAGUCCAGCUACGUUUUGCACGAAUCCUGGUUUACUGGUCACACCCUGGGGGCUAUUGACAUAGACCAGCUGCUUUUGCGACAGCACCCUAGAACCACUGGGGUUACAGGCCAGCCUCCAACAUUACCGCCCAGCGACUUCACAGGUUAUGUGCACGCCGGUAUAUC